Molecule: transfer RNA, 73 nt
Filed under: Actinoalloteichus hoggarensis
Lineage: Bacteria; Bacillati; Actinomycetota; Actinomycetes; Pseudonocardiales; Pseudonocardiaceae
Description: tRNA-Met
Source: RNAcentral
GUAGACGAGCUGGAGGAUGUGACCUGGGACACUCAUAAUCCCUUGGCCGUGGGUUCGAGCCCCACCCGCCCCA